This 253-nucleotide ribosomal RNA is filed under the name uncultured bacterium. Its description in RNAcentral is "partial 16S ribosomal RNA". It matches the Rfam family "Bacterial small subunit ribosomal RNA", at positions 524 to 776 of the family's 1533-position model. The record is from RNAcentral.
UACGUAGGUGGCAAGCGUUGUCCGGAUUUACUGGGUGUAAAGGGCGUGCAGCCGGGAAGACAAGUCAGAUGUGAAAUCCCGCGGCUCAACCGCGGAACUGCAUUUGAAACUGUUUUUCUUGAGUACCGGAGAGGUCAUCGGAAUUCCUUGUGUAGCGGUGAAAUGCGUAGAUAUAAGGAAGAACACCAGUGGCGAAGGCGGCUUACUGGACCGUAACUGACGUUGAGGCUCGAAAGCGUGGGAAGCAAACAGG